Long non-coding RNA from Nothoprocta perdicaria, 265 nucleotides. RefSeq lists it as uncharacterized. The record is from RefSeq and is a predicted model, not a curated record. Lineage: Eukaryota; Metazoa; Chordata; Aves; Tinamiformes; Tinamidae. The transcript has 3 exons.
UGUAGGUGAGGACUGUUCUCUUGCAAUGUGGUUUGCUCCUGGCUCAGCCUCAGCCUUAGAGGUAGCUGCAGCCCCUGGAUUAACACCGUGUCAAUGGGAUGUUGAUGAUUUGGAGAUUUAAACUGAGAGAGGGUUCAAACUGUGCUAGAUCCUGUACUAAUAGCUCCUGUACUGAUACUGCAUCUUGCUCCUAGGACUUCCACUCUGGGAGGCUGGAUUUAUGGGCCGUGUGAAGAACGCUACUGACCUGAGCUGGACUGGAGCA